AUUGAACGCUGGCGGCAUGCUUUACACAUGCAAGUCGAACGGCAGCGCGGGCUUCGGCCUGGCGGCGAGUGGCGAACGGGUGAGUAAUACAUCGGAACGUGCCCAGUAGUGGGGGAUAGCACGGCGAAAGCCGGAUUAAUACCGCAUACGACCUGAGGGUGAAAGCGGGGGAUCUUCGGACCUCGCGCUAUUGGAGCGGCCGAUGGCAGAUUAGCUAGUUGGUGGGGUAAAGGCCUACCAAGGCGACGAUCUGUAGCUGGUCUGAGAGGACGACCAGCCACACUGGAACUGAGACACGGCCCAGACUCCUACGGGAGGCAGCAGUGGGGAAUUUUGGACAAUGGGCGAAAGCCUGAUCCAGCAAUGCCGCGUGUGUGAUGAAGGCCUUCGGGUUGUAAAGCACUUUUGGCGGGAACGAAAAGGACUGUGCCAAUACCACGGUUCGAUGACGGUACCCGCAGAAUAAGCACCGGCUAACUACGUG
RNAcentral lists this ribosomal RNA (484 nucleotides) under uncultured bacterium. RNAcentral describes it as "partial 16S ribosomal RNA". It matches the Rfam family "Bacterial small subunit ribosomal RNA", at positions 29 to 507 of the family's 1533-position model. The record is from RNAcentral.